AGAAUCUAGUUCUAAUAUCCUGUCUCCUGACUAGUUCUAGAACAGUAGGGAUAGGUCUGGUUGGUAUCCUCUCCACCUGUACUAGUUUAGUAGCAGGUUUCUCUAUACAUACAGAGGAUAUACCUCCUUGGUGUACAUGGAUCAGGUAUAUUUCCCUCCAGUAUUGGGUGAUGGAUCCCCUCCUCUCCGGAGAUUUUACUCCGAUCUCAACCUUCUACUGCCACAACAACCCUAUGAUAACCGACUCCGGGAUCAUCAAACAGAUAGCAUGCGGACUCCCUACCGGAGCACAAGCUUUACAGUACUUCCAUCAUCCGAUUUCAACCUUGACAGGGUUGAGUUCUCUUAACUCUACCUCUCCUCUAAUACUUUCCGUAGCGAUCUGUCUGAUCGCAUCCUUAGGCAUAAUUAUUUUCUCAUUUGUAAUUUUUCUAUUUAAACAACCAGCAAAAAAAACCUCUUCCAUAACUCUACUAUAGAAUAUAAAGUGCUUUACUUGAUAAUUAUACUCGCUUUUAGAUAAAUGUAUAUUUUUGUACUACUCGGUGUACAGUAUGUAUGAUAUUGUGUACAGUGAGCUGUACUGUAAUUGUGCAUUGUACCCUGUACAAUAGAGACCAAAUUUACAUUGGACAUUUGUAAAUUUUAGUUUUGUAAAAAAA
Eurytemora carolleeae is the source of this 662-nucleotide long non-coding RNA. RefSeq lists it as uncharacterized. The record is from RefSeq and is a predicted model, not a curated record. The transcript has 2 exons. Lineage: Eukaryota; Metazoa; Arthropoda; Copepoda; Calanoida; Temoridae.